CCUACGGGUGGCAGCAGUGGGGGAUAUUGCACAAUGGGGGGAACCCUGAUGCAGCGACGCCGCGUGGGUGAAGGAGUGCUUCGGCAUGUAAAGCCCUAUCGGCAGGGAAGAAGCAAGACGGUACCUGACUAAGAAGCCCCGGCUAACUACGUGCCAGCAGCCGCGGUAAUACGUAGGGGGCGAGCGUUAUCCGGAUUCACUGGGUGUAAAGGGAGCGUAGACGGCCAUGCAAGCCAGGGGUGAAAGCCCGGGGCCCAACCCCGGGACUGCCCUUGGAACUGCAUGGCUAGAGUGCGGGAGGGGCAGGCGGAAUUCCUGGUGUAGCGGUGAAAUGCGUAGAUAUCAGGAGGAACACCGGCGGCGAAGGCGGCCUGCUGGACUGCGACUGACGUUGAGGCUCGAAAGCGUGGGGAGCGAACAGGAUUAGAUACCCGAGUAGUC
This 441-nucleotide ribosomal RNA is filed under the name uncultured bacterium. RNAcentral's name for it is "partial 16S ribosomal RNA". It matches the Rfam family "Bacterial small subunit ribosomal RNA", at positions 338 to 795 of the family's 1533-position model. The record is from RNAcentral.